UAUUGUAAUAUGUUGAUCAUGAGUUUCCAUAAUACUACCAGUGACCUCAUUAGUUCAAAAUAGCCAGAUUUUCCCAUUAUCAUUGCUAACUGCAUGAUCCAUCUGUAAUUGACUUCUCACUAUAUCUAUAUGAGAGUUAUUAGCAAAUGGUUCCAGAAUAGCAAUAAUAGAUAGCUGAUGAAGUUUCUUGAGAGUUUGAA
Molecule: long non-coding RNA, 200 nt
Filed under: Solanum tuberosum (potato)
Lineage: Eukaryota; Viridiplantae; Streptophyta; Magnoliopsida; Solanales; Solanaceae
Description: long non-coding RNA (STUB_LNC009886)
Source: RNAcentral